Non-coding RNA from Camelina sativa (false flax), 1005 nucleotides. NCBI's taxonomy places the organism in Eukaryota, Viridiplantae, Streptophyta, Magnoliopsida, Brassicales, Brassicaceae. The record is from RefSeq and is a predicted model, not a curated record.
UUAAACCAUCUUCAGCGGAGUAUGGUAAUAAAUAUCUUAGUGAUUAAAGCAAAAAAAUAAAUGAAAAAUGGGGAAUUAGCUAAGAAAUAAAUCUUAGCUAAGAUAUUUCACAGCUGAAUUCCUAGAACAUGUGUCAAAUGGGGAAUAGAUGGAGUCUAAGUGAAACAAAGAAAAAAAAAACUUGCGCGUAAUAUAUCUUUUGUUCUUCCUUCUCUCUCUGACGAUGUCAUUCUUGUAAUCUCCGAAGGCGAAACGAGCAGAUCUGUGGCGAUCGGGUUACAUAUCCUUUGCCAUCUUCACCAGCUGGAAAUCAGGUUGUGCCAGAAGCAAUCAUUGAGGGUCAAAAUAUCAACACAUUAUCAGCUGAGCCCCACAUAGCUGGUCCAGAUGCAGUAGAGAGUGGUCAUUAUGCAAUAUCAGAUCAGGUACGUAUUGCCUUAACAAAAGAUAAUCGCUUUUGCUGUUCAAAAGGCUUCCAUCUUUGUAAUGCAGGAAACAAUGGUUGCUCAGGAUGAGUUUAAUGUUCUCUGCCAACUAAUGUAUGUAGUUUGUUUCAGUUUAUGUUUAAUCCGUGUUUGCUUCAAAUGAGUUUAUGUUUCUGUAUUUUGAAUUCUUGAAUGAGUUUCUGUUCUUGGUUGAGUUUGAAUGAGUGUUUGUGUUCAUAAGAUAUGUGGUAGCAUCAGUUUAUUUUCUUUGAGUUCUUGAAUGAGUUUCUGUUAUUAAUUGAGUUUGAAUGAGUGUUUGUGUUCUUGAAUAAGACUGAUUUAUGUUUAAAUUUCUGAUCUUGAAUGAGGAUAUGCGGAAAGAGCCGAGAGCCAAGAGGAACAACACCAACAAGCCGACAUCAACUCCAGUUUCAUGGUUUGUGUCAUGGUGUCAUGUUUUGUGUCAUCACUUCUAUUCAGCACCAACAACCCGAGAGCAACUUCAAUCUUCUAGUCAACACCAACAACACCAACUUCAGGAUCACUCAGCCGGAUUAGAAAUGAUAGAAACUCGUCAAGG